Molecule: ribosomal RNA, 345 nt
Filed under: Cherax holthuisi
Lineage: Eukaryota; Metazoa; Arthropoda; Malacostraca; Decapoda; Parastacidae
Description: partial 12S ribosomal RNA
Source: RNAcentral
ACUUGAAUAUUAGUAGUUAUGGGCUUUAAAUUCAAAGAAUUUGGCGGUAUUUUAGUCUUGUUAGAGGAACCUGUUCUGUAAACGAUACAACACGAAAAAUCUUACUUACUUUUGUUUAACAGUUUGUAUACCGUCAUUAUUAGAUUACCUUCGUAGAGAAAGUUAUUGAAAUUUAAGAAGUUGAAGUAUAUUAGAUCAAGGUGCAGUUUAUAAGUAAGAAGAAAUGGGUUACAAUAAAAUUUAUUUAUACGUAUCAGUAAUUGAAUAGUUUCUGUGAAGGAGGAUUUAAUUGUAACAUAUAAUUUAAUAAGUUAGUGUGAUAUGAGAACUAAAAUAUGUACAUAU